AGAAUCAACGCUGGCGGCGUGCCUAACACAUGCAAGUCGCACGAGAAAGGGACUUCGGUCCUGAGUAAAGUGGCGCACGGGUGAGUAACACGUGAAUCAUCUACCUCCGAAUGGGGAAUAACUGAGAGAAAUCUUAGCUAAUACCGCAUAAUACCUACGGGUCAAAGCAGCAAUGCGUUUGGAGAGGAGUUCGCGGUCGAUUAGUUAGUUGGCGGGGUAAUGGCCCACCAAGACGAUGAUCGAUAUCCGGCCUGAGAGGGCGCACGGACACACUGGAACUGAAACACGGUCCAGACUCCUACGGGAGGCAGCAGUGGGGAAUUUUGCGCAAUGGGGGAAACCCUGACGCAGCAACGCCGCGUGGAGGAUGAAAUAUCUUGGUAUGUAAACUCCUUUCGAUGGGGAAGAUAAUGACGGUACCCAUAGAGAAGCCCGGCUAACUUCGUGCCAGCAGCCGC
RNAcentral lists this ribosomal RNA (458 nucleotides) under uncultured bacterium. RNAcentral describes it as "SSU rRNA". It matches the Rfam family "Bacterial small subunit ribosomal RNA", at positions 26 to 518 of the family's 1533-position model. The record is from RNAcentral.